AUUGAACGCUGGCGGCAGGCCUCACACAUGCAAGUCGAACGAGGGGCGGACGGGUGAGUAAUGUAUGGGAAACUGCCUGAUGGAGGGGGAUAACUACUGGACACGGGAGCUAAUACCGCAUACCAUAAAAUGUGCCCAGAAGGGAUUAGCUCGUUGGUGGGGUAACUGCUCACCAAGGCGACGAACCCUAGCUGGUCUGAGAGGAUGACCAGCCACACUGGAACUUAUACACGUUCCAUAAUCCUACGGUAGGCAGCAGGGGGGAAUCUUGCACAAUGGGCGCAAGCCUGAUGCAGCCAUGCCGCGUGUAUGCAGAAGGCCUGCGGGGUGUAAAGUACUUUCAGCGGGGAAGCGUUACCCGCAGAAGAAGCACCUGCUAACUCCGUGCCAGCAGCCGCGGUAAUAC
This 406-nucleotide ribosomal RNA is filed under the name uncultured bacterium. RNAcentral describes it as "partial 16S ribosomal RNA". It matches the Rfam family "Bacterial small subunit ribosomal RNA", at positions 30 to 526 of the family's 1533-position model. The record is from RNAcentral.